Molecule: non-coding RNA, 29 nt
Filed under: Mus musculus (house mouse)
Lineage: Eukaryota; Metazoa; Chordata; Mammalia; Rodentia; Muridae
Source: RNAcentral
UAGGAAGAAUCAGCCUGCCUCUGUUUUAG